This is a long non-coding RNA of Ictalurus punctatus (channel catfish), 10613 nucleotides long. NCBI's taxonomy places the organism in Eukaryota, Metazoa, Chordata, Actinopteri, Siluriformes, Ictaluridae. The record is from Ensembl.
UAACAUGGUGUAAUAGAGUAGCGCGUGGUGUAACAUGGUAGUACAUGGUGUAAUAGGGUAGUGCAUAGUGUAACAUGGUAGUACAUGGUGUAAGAGUAUAGUGCACAGUGUAAGGCUCUUCAUCUCCCUCCACUGGCUUCCGGUAGCCGCCCGUAGCAAAUUCAAUGCAUUGUUGCUCACGUACAAGACCUUGUCUGGAACAGCACCACCCCACCUCAACACUCCUUGAAGUUUAUGUUCCCUCACGCAACCUGCGCUCGGUUAACCACCGACGCCUGGUAGUGCCUACUCAGCGAGGCAUGAGGUCCCUUUCCAGAACCUUCACACUGACUGUCCCUCAGCGGUGGAAUGAACUUCCAACCUCAACCCGGACAGCAGAAUGUGUCACUUAUCUCCAAAAAACGGCUAAAGACCCACCUCUUCCGUGAGCACUGAACUAUAACCCCUACGUAACCCUAGCUAAGUAUUUUUUUUCCCUGAAUACGGUCGGAAGGUCUUUUUUAGGUGGGAGAUACAGGCUUCAUGUUUACUUUCCUGCACAGUGUGCUUGAUUGAACUGAUUGGCCAAUAGCCAAAAAUGUGCAGCAUUCCGGAAACCGCUAACCUUCAACAAAGCGGUGAAUCUUAAGCACAAACGCUGUUUGCCUGUGGUUAGUCACUUUAAGCUGCUUCACACCGUUUGACCUGAAAAGAGCCCCAGCUGCAGAUGGAAUCGCUCUGUCUUUCCUUCCUUCCUCUCCCACUCUCCGUAAGAGCAAUCGGAGGGGAAACGGACGCGGAGGAAUGCGCUGAAGAAUCCGGAUGUCCGUUCCCAGACCCGACAUGCCACUGUGCAUCCUCAGCAGCAUUUUUAUGCUUAUUCUUUUUGGCAGACGGCUUUUAACCGAGACACGUUACGAGCGAAAGAGGAUAGAGGCCAAGCACAAAGCUGAUACGUUCUCGCUCAAGGGCGCAACUCUGGUAGAUCUUGGACUUGGCCUCACCGCCUUGUGGUCACUAAUAGAGAACUUUGACGGCGCUCCGACUGCCUCCCUCACUGGCAACAGUACAAUCCAGUACAGGUCAGGUCUGAUUUUAAGAAUCCAGAAUCCAGAGAUGCCAAAUUGUACAGUUUAGUCUGGAGUCAUAUGAAAGACUUUUGGCAGCGCUUAUUUUGGCUUCCGACGUAAUCUAUAUCAAAUUCGACCUGUGGAUUGACAAGCCUCGGGCUUGUGAGCCAAUAGAAACCAAGUGGGCGGGGUUGUGGUCUCUUCGGUCCCUAAAAAUUGGAGGAACUCUUACUAAAAAAAAAAGCCACCAAAUCCACCAACAUGUGCAAGGGCUUUUUGUGGUUGCGAUGUAUUUUAUUCUCCCCGCGCGCUUGGAUUUUCUCGUUAGAAUAUCGGCACCUCGGCGAAUCCGACCCGGAGUCGCUCGGUCCUUCAGAGAUACCCGCACAUUAUAUUUAUCCGUCGGUGAGCGGUAAUUAAAUGCCGCGAUGCGGAUCGACCUCGGCAGAGUACGAGCUAACGCGGGAUCGCUUUCCCGGGUUUCUCCGUCGACGGACUCAUUUCGACCCGAAAUUCACCGCGGUAAUUCACCGUGACAUGCUUCCCCUCGAAGCAAACCGAUUCCGAAAUCUCCCCCGUCUCUUUCGGGUUCCUCUUUGAACGCGUGGCGAUUAUCUCGUAGUUAUUGCUUUUCUCAAACAGAGGAAGUUUGCAGUGAAGUCACUGGCAGAACAGGGGAAACUGAAGUGAAGUCACAGGCACGACACUUACUCGCCGUCACUCUGCAUAAACGAAAAAAACACACACACACACACACACAUCAGAGAGGAGAUUUGUGCUGACGUAGGCCGUGGUAGAGGAGUUCCACGGAGAGAAAUGUGAGAGUUUAUUCGUUAGAUUAGAACUCUUUGAACUGGACACCAGGUGGACUUUGAGAGGUUCUGCUGUUUCUCUGGAAUGUUACAAACGUGCUAAAGACUUCCCCUGGUCUUCCGUGGGAGUGCUGAACAGGGGCUUUCUACUGCGUCCAGUAAAAUCUGCUACUUCCUUUUUACAGAUUAUAUCACAUAUGUACAGAGUUCACAUCAGGAAGUGUGCCUUCGUCGGAACAGUCGUUUGCGAUUGGAUUAAAACUGAACGUCAGUAUUUUUUUAAUUUUUUUUUGUCUUGCUUCACUUAUUUGGACUCGCGGUGGAAUACUCGCGGUCUUUCUUCAGUCAGACAAGGAGAUGCUCUCUGGAUUGGACGUGGGAAACAAGACUCUGGACUGAACAUCAGAUCAAAAGAAGUCUGACUUGUAGGUACUCCCUAGACUUAAAUCCAGUCUUGCUUAGAUAAACCAAGAGGCAUGCUUUGAUAAACGCCAGCUUUCAGUAGUUAGAUCAGACGAUACUCUCUGAGCUAAACACGACGUUUAUUCUGGACCGGACCCCGGAUCCGAAGUGUGAGAACUGCAGGUCGGGUCCGGCGUUAAAGAGGUAGGCUUUCUGGACCGAACGGCGUUCUUUGAUUUGAAGAUAUUACGCUUUGAGGAGUUAGAUCAGAUUCUUUCUGGACCGAACGGCGUUCUUUGAUUUGAAGAUAUUACGCUUUGAGGAUUAGAUCAGAUUCUUUCUGGACCGAACGGCGUUCUUUGAUUUGAAGAUAUUACGCUUUGAGGAGUUAGAUCAGAUUCUUUCUGGACCGAACGGCGUUCUUUGAUUUGAAGAUAUUACGCUUUGAGGAGUUAGAUCAGAUUCUUUCUGGACCGAAUGUUAGUCAUGAGGAAAAAAAAAAAACGUUAUCAUGAGAAAUAUUCUCAGCUGUAUUCUCAGGAACAAGCGCUGUUUAUUUCUUUUAAAGGUUUAGACAAGGAGACGCCGUCUGAUCUGGACACCGGGCAUCUGUUUUAAAGAAUUAGACAAAGUAGCGGGCUGAACGCUAUAGUUUUACGAACGGUUAUAGACUUCAUUUCAGAGACGUCGAUUAGGACCGUUCUAGACUGUAAAGAAUUUCUGAGAGGAUUGACCAUGAGACACUCUCUGGAUCGGACGCCUUUGUUCAUUGCGAGGAUUUCGACAAGGAGACGCUGUCUGAUCUGAUCAAACACCGCCGUUUAUUUGAAGUAAUUUGCUCGGGUUCUUUCCGGACACCCGGUUUUGAGAAGUAUCAGGAAAAAACAUUCUCAAGUGUAUUCGCUGGACCAAACAUCAUUGUUUAUUGUACGGUUUUAGACAAGGAGACACAGUCUGAUCUGAACCAUAGCUUACUAGGUUUAAAUACUAAACUUGCACUGUGGCAGUUGUACUGUAUACGUUGCCAUGAUACUCUACACACAGAAACCCAACAGGACCCCGGCUAAUCUUUAAAGAAAAGAAUUUUCAUUUGUUUAUACUGGUUGGAAAUGUCAGAUAAGUGGUUGAAAUGGACGAGUCCAGAACGGUUCUAGACGGUUAAACCCGGGAGAUGUUCUGGACUCAACUAGGGGAAAGCCGAACAAGUGUAACUAGAAAAAAUAUUCGGAAAAAGAGUGGAUUGAGGAAUUAGACCUGUACAACAGCUCUGGGUUUUUUUUUGUUUUUGAGACCGUUAGACUGGAAUGAAGCAGGAGAAAGUCUCACGACUGGAUAACAUUUCUGAGAAGAUGUUAUCUGAGGUGACCAUGAGACCAUGUCUGGACUGAACAUCAUUGUUUAUUUGAAGCAUUUAGACGAGGAGACGCUAUCCGAUCCGAUCACUGUCGAUUGUUUUAAAGAAUUAGAUUAGAAGAAACACUAGUGGACUGAAUGCUAGUUGGAGGAAUGUUAGACCAGAAGAAGAGUCCUGGAUUUUUAUUUUUAUUUAUUUAUUUAUUUAUCUAUCUAUUUUUGAGACAGUUAGACCAGGAACAUGUUCUGAACUGGACCAGAACUCAUGGCUGUGAACAAUUUCGAAGUUUCAUCAUACGAUACUGUUUAGACUGACCACCAUCGUUCACGUCGGAACGUUUCGAAUUAUGAGACACUGUCCGAUCUGAUCCGAUCACUGAAGUUUCUUCUGAGGAAUUAGAUCAGAAGGUGCGUCUAAAUGAAACCAAGUUCUUGGAAUCAGACCAAAAGAACAGUACCGGGCUUUAUUCUUUUCCAGAAUAUUCUAGACUUAUAAACCAUAACAGAGUUUGACCAUGUGACCAACGAGGCUCUGGCUCGAACUGUGUGUUUUAGGUGAGAUAUUCUCAGGUGUAUAAUCUGGACUGAACACUCGCUAUCGGAUCUGAUUAACACACCGCGCUUGUAUUUUGAGGAAUUUGAUCGGAAGAUUAUUUCUAAACUGGAGCUGAAGGUUAGACCGAGGACACACUCAUUUUAUGAAUUUUAGACCGGAAGAAUGGUUCCGGACUAGGAAAAUAUUCCGUAGAGAACGUAAACUGAGACCUUUUUUUUAUUUUUUUUAUCUUGACCGAACACCGGUGUGUUUUUUUUUAACGAGUUAGACAAAGAGACGCGAUCUAAUCUGAUCUGAUCUGAUCCGAUCUGAUGAGGAGUUUGAUCAGAAGGUUAUUUCUAAACUGAAAGCAGUUUUAUGAGAAACUCGUUUUAGGAGGUAGACCAGAAGAACGGUUUGGACUUUUUUUAAAAAAAAUAAAAACAAACAAAAAAAAAACGAUACAGUUAGACUUCGGAAAACAUUCUGGACUGAACCAGCGUUCGCGUUUGUAAAUCCUUUUCUGAGAAGAUCGGUCUCGCGGGACUGAGCACCAUUGUUUAUUUUGACGAUUUAGCCGAACCCAAUCUGGUUUGGUGUUUGUUUCGAGCGGUUAGAUCUAGAUUGACGAGCAUUUCUGAGGAAUUAGCGUGAACGAUUGAACUCCAGGAGACUCAGAUCUGUUUCUUUCCUGCUCUACAGGGCCAACUGGAAGUGACUCUUUCUCAGCCGGCUCGAUCAGCCAAUGGCACGCCCAGGUGAGUUCACCUCAUUUAUUGUUCCAUCGAGGCUGAAACUUUACGGCGCACACUUACCCAGCCAGCUCGAGAGCGCACGAGAGGCUGUGGGAUCACGACGCGAAGGUUUUUACGACUAAACGCGGGCCAGAAAUGGUUUUUGUCAUGUGAGUUCUUUGGACAAUGAAAGUGAGAGGUGUAGAAUUUCCCUGCUUUGCUGCGGGACUCGCUUUCAACCUCUGAAAAUCUCCAACUUCCUUUUUGAGCGACAGAUAAAACAACCACAUGACGUGUUAGACAGUAUUACACACGCACACACACGCGCGCGCGCGCGUGCGUGCGUUUUUACAAGGGGACAUAAAGCGGUCGCACCAUAUGACACGUAUUUCACUCAGACAUACGUUUAAAUGUUUAACGUGUAGAUUCAGUUACUCAUUCUGAACUGGCAUUUUAAGACUGUAAGUACAUUAAUAUACACACAUGUACAUACACACACACACACACACACACACACACACACACACACACACACACACACACACACUCCUUCAUAGGACAGGAGCUGUAGAUAACAGAAAUUUAAAUAAAUCAUGUCACAGAUUCAAUACUGUUGCCAAGGUGUGUGUGUGUGUGUGUGUGUGUGUGUGUGUAAGAAAGUGAAGCCAGACAGGAUAUCCAGCACGUAGACUCAGUUAGUGCAUGGUGAGUCAGGGUGUUUAACGGCCAGCAGAGGUGAGUGGAUAAGUUACUGUACACACUUAACACACACACACACACACGCACACACACACAAACACACACAAGUACACAUGCAUACACGCGUCCUUUUGCUCUCUGCUCCUUGGCUUCUCUGUGGAAUGCUCUGGCACGGCUCUUAAGUAAACAGCGGUAUUUUUAGUACGGGUCGAACAGAGCCUUUCUUAAUCACUGUCUCCCCGUAUUCCCACCAUCCCCGAGUGAGAGAAAGACAGACAGGAAAAGACAGACGAGAGAGAGAGACAGGCGUUUUAAAAAAGGCAUUCAUAGAUAGUGGGCGGAGAUUACAAAUUGACCUACCAGUACCCUAACAUGUUUCAUAAAGCUGCUGAGUAAAGUGUCUCUCCAGGACAGAACAGGACCUUUCUAGGUCACGUACACAUUUUUAACGCGAUUAUCUCUCAGGAAAAAAAGGGGAAACAUUUGGUAUGAAGGCCAAUCAGUUGCGUAAUAAUCGUUUAAAUAGAAGAAUAUACAUUAUGCCGAUUUCUGAAUCCACCCGAACGUGAAGAACACAGAGCUGUUGCUCAAUGAAGGAUUACAAAAUUCUGUAAAUAAUUACUUAAAAAUAUCUAUUUUUUUAAAAUUUAAUCAAGACUUUAUUUUCUGUUUUUGGUCAUCAGUCCAAAUAUCUAGAACAUAUCGCUGUAAACAUGGCAUGUUUGUUUCACUUCUUGUAGGUGUGUCGAUUUAGAAUCACUUACAAUUGAAUUGCACUGUAGGUGAGUCGAUUCGGACUCACUUGCAAUCGAAACGCACUGUCGGUGGGUCGAUUCAGAAUCGCUUGCAAUAGAAUUGCACUGUCGGUGAGUCGAUUCAGAAUCACAUGCAAUCGAAUUGCACUGUAGGUGAGUCGAUUCCGAAUCGCUUGUAAUCGAAUAGCACUGUAGGUGAGUCGAUUCAGAAUCACUUGCAAUUGAAUUGGGCUGUAGGUGAGUCGAAUCAGAAUCACUUUGUCACUGGAAUUGAAAUGCGCUGUAGGUGAGUCGAUUCAGAAUCACUUUCUCACUACAGUCAAAUUACGUGAUAGGUCAGUCGAUUCAGAAUAAUUUUCUCACUGGAAUUAAAUUACACUGUAAGUAAGUCUAUUCAGAAUCAUUUUCUCACUACAAUCAAACUGUGCUGUAGGUGAGUCGAUUCAGAAUAAUUUUCUCACUGCAGUCAAAUAACACUGUAAGUGAGUCGAUUCAGAAUCAUUUAUGACUGUAAUCAAACUGUGCUGUAGGUGAGUCAAUUCAGAAUCACCGACACACCAACAGUAGAGUUCCUACAUAUAAAAGUUGUCACGAUAUCCUUGAUAUUGCAGAAAUGUGUAUUGUGACAUAACUUAUAACAAUAUUGAUAAUAUAUCAUCAUAUCACCCAGCCCACAUAGGGUGUAACAUAAUGGUGGUGAACCUACACAGUGCACUUGAUUCCCAAUAAAACACCAUCUGAGGUUCAGCCACAAUAGACGAGCGAUUUGCUGGAACUCUAUCUGUUAUCGGACAAAAGCUUUGUUAUAUACAAGCAAAGAAACUCAAAUACAUAAUUAUAAUUAUACAAGAAUACGUAAGAAGAUAAUUUGUGUACAAAUUGAACUCUCCAGGAUCUCUGAUAAUAUGCAGGUCUGUGUUUAGGCUGUUGUUUUAAUAAGUGCAGAUUUGUUGUGGAAAACAGCUGGAAUACGGCGAUGUUCUCGGUUUAGCUAGAAUUCGGGAGAGCAGAGGGAGAGGUUAUGUGUAAAAAUCACAGCUGGGGCUCAUAUUGACCCACGGCUGCACGACGGUGGUGGAGGAGGAGGAGGAGGAGGAGGAGUGGUAGUAGUAAGGUGGGGGAGGUGAACAAAGCCCGAGCCCACUCUCCCUGCCUGCAGCCGCCCACUCGUUUCCCAGAGUCCUCGGCAGCGCCGUGUCGCCCGCGAGGGGCCCGCGAGGCGACUUCCUGUCAGAGAGCGACGGCGAAGCAGGAAGCAAUUUGUCAUGCAGGAGCAACGCGCACAGGGAACGUGGAUCGCUCCGAACCGAAACAUGGCACUCUUAAAAGGACACGGGUGAGAAGGACAGGAACGGGAACUCGCACGACGAGAACAAACGAGCGGCGCAGAGAACGCAAGCUCGCCACCUUGUUUUUUUGGGGAAGUGAAAGCAAACGGAAAAUCCUCCACAGUCCAUAUAGAUCCCGAACACCUUUCACCCUUCCUCCCCCGUACAUCUCUCUCUCUCUCUCCCUUUCUCCUCCACCAUCCAGCAUGAAAUCUGAGCGAUAUUAAUGCUGCCAGAGCUGUAAAGUUGUGGUCUGUGCGUCUUUUCUCUUUGGAGCGGAGCACACGCUAAGCAGAACCAUAUGUGCGCCCCAUAUGAACAGGAAACUGCUGGAAAUAAAGAAAGAAGGGAGGAGGCGCAGGGUGGAAGAGGAGGGAGCGAGUCUAGGUUCUGUGUACCCGCUGUAAACUCGGUGUCUCUGUUUAGUCAGUAACUAGAGCACGUUACUGACCCAGUUUUUCAUUAUUGGGGACACACACACACACACACACACACACACACACACACACACACUAAUUAAUGCUUAGCUUCGAAAACAGCAACUCUUCCUAUUUAAGCCUCCAACACACAUUGAAUACAAAAUGGCUUCCUAAUCACAUAAUCCAGUCGAUCAUGUUGAAUUCUUCGUUCUGAUUGGUCGGAAAGUGUUUAACGUUCUAUAAUAGCAGCUCUGAGAGCAGGCUGUAAACGAGUCAGUAACGAAUAUGUUUAUGGUGUAAACGUCGCUAUGUGACAAAGGAAAUGUCGAUACGGUGACGUUUUCUUCACGGAAGGAGUCUCCGGUGUCAGUGCUCUGUAGGAUUUUGCGGCAAGCAAUCUUGUGCAAUUUUGCCAGUUCAAGUCCAUUUUAAAAAAGCACAAAAAAAAACUCCAAAUGCAACAUAUUUGGCUCGGGGAAGUCACGGGAAAGUUUUCCCGACCGAGAACGUCGCGCUUUCUGGUUUCUCUGGAACAUGACAAGCGGCGUGGGGUUUUAUUCGUUUAUUUCUCGUCUCAACGUCCGAAGAAUAGAAAGCGACCGGUGAGGGAACGGCUGCCAUUAAACGAAGCCCUUAAAGGGUCGAAGGUCACCGGGCAAUGCUCGGAGACCUCUGCAGGUAGUGUGUGGACUUGUGUGUGGGAUUAUUACACGUCGCUCAAGGCUAACGGUUUAAUCGUCGAGCCGUUGAUAGAGAUCAGAUUUUAGCCCUUCAUGACCAUGCGUCACCGUUUAGAAUCAGACCCGUCCAAGCCAAGCAGCGCUCGGUCUAAUCGUUAACGACAGUGUCGUUUAACGCGUCGCGUUUUUUUCUGGAGCCGCGUCUCAUUCACUGACCGGCCGCGUGUCGGGUAAAAGCGCAGGUCCUCACCGAAUCGUCUGAAGGCCACCACGUCCGCACGUCACGCUCGGCCUUUAAAAAAACAACAGGACAAACACACACUCAGGCCUGGCCCCGAUUUUAUCAGGCUUUAAAGGCGUGGACGCGUUUUGUUUUUUUUAAUAGAGCGGACACACGUAUAUCGGUAUAUAACCGUGCGUGCGGAUUCAACUUACAAUAGUCGAUUGUGUUUGCGUGUUAUCAGUCAGUCGCACAUUCAAACCGAAGUCCGGCGCUGUUUAGACAGACAAGCGUGUCGGGGAAAAGGUCAGAGGUCAGCACGGAGCGGGAGGUUUUUCUGAGUGCGCACGCUGAUAAUUGGUCACGACACGGACGGAAUAAAAACGCGAAAGGCAACCGUGUCAAGAUCCUUUCUUCCUCCACACUUUGGCCUCUCCAUCACUUUGGUAUGACGUUACAUAGCUUCUUUGUGUGACAGAGAAAGAACGUGUUCGUUAUUAUGUUUAGCAUCCGGCACGUCCCCGGGCGAGUCCCUGUGAAUGAGCCGCUACCGUGGAAACGCUAACGUAUCGGAACUACCGUCAGAGCUGCAGUUAUCGAAGACGAAUCCAUACCUUCUAACCAAUCAGCGCUGUGGUAGGAAUUGCAUACAAUGGAAACCAGUGGUAUUGUUAGCGGUGUCGCUACGCUCGAGUACGACGCAGAAAGCAUCUGUCUUCUAAAGUGUCCUGUCAAAUAUGAAGCACAAACUGUGUUUUUUUUUUUUUGUCUCCGUUAUGGGACGGCGAGAUAGAAUAUAGACUAGACUGUUGUGCGUCCGUGGUCUAGACAGCGGUUAAAAGCAUCCGAGCUCAGUCUUUAUCGGCUCUCAAUCUGCUCUGCGUUCUGUGUGUCAUCGACUCUACUCUUUCACAAUCCCUCCACCUCUCGUCCUCUAUUCUGCUCCGUAAGCCUUGUACGUAGAGGCAUACGUAUUUGUCGUGCCUCUAAAAGAAACACGGACGGGUCACAGCGUCUUUCUUAGACACGCGCUAACGCUAUCGUAACGUAUAAUAGUAGCUAGCGCGGACAGCAUGGUUCAUUCGCGUUCGUUUCUCCAUUCUGGGAUUAUGCUAACGCUAGGUCAAGUCCAGCCCCGUGUUUUCAAGCGGUGACCCGAGGCAGCAUUUUCCCGCCGCUCUCAUUUAGCCGGCUCGCUAGUUAGCCAGCAAAGCAACACUUCAUACAGUCAUAUUUUCAUACAGAAGAUAUCUCGGCUUCGUUCUCAGCUUUUAGUUCGUUAGCUAGCAUGCGUAAGAUGAGCAGUAGCUAGUAAAACCUUCUGGGUGUUCCAGAAUCAGGCUAGCAAAAAAAAAAAAAAAGUCGUUAGCAUGUAGAAGGGACGUGUAUACUUUCACACAGGGGGUUACCGGUUAUCGAAUCACGGACGUCCUGGACGUUCAAACGCAGCUAAACAAUUUAUUAGCAAUUCAUAGUGAUGACGUAGCCAGCUAGCGCUCGAUAGCGUUCCGGCUAACUUACAGAGCUGCAAAUGAUCCUUUGAAGCAUGGACAGUAAUGUUAGCUCGUUUUAACGUGAUCGGAGGUUUCAGGGGUGAAAAAAAAAAGGGAAGUACAGACGUCUGUGG